GCCAGCGUGAGGGAGAGGGGCUGGGACAGCACUGGGAACCAGGAGGGCACCCUCAGGCUCUCCUGGGCAGAAGGAUGGCAGACCCAGGGUGGAGCACAGCUCAGGGGUGGGCCAGCCUGGGGGGUGCCCUGGGUGAAGGCAGAAAUGGUGGGGGCAUGGAGGGAGGAAAAGGCCUGGCUUGGGUCCUGUAGCUUCCCACAUAUGACACAGAAGCAGGGCUGCCUCUACAGGGCAGGAGGCCCCUUGGGCAAGUCCCGCCCCUCAGCCUGCUGUCCCAGCAGCCGCAAGCAAAGAACUGGCCUCAGGUUCCUGUGUGCAAGUGGGGAGGAGGCUACCAGGCCCGACAGGCACCCCUUGCCUGGGCCCAUGUCUGAGGAUGGGGAAGCAGGAAGGAAUCCAAUCCCCCUCUCUUCCCACACCAGCCCUGGGAGGCACCAAGCUCCCACUGCAAGGGCAGCAGAUCCCACCAACAGUGGGCUGGUCAGAGGCAGUGGCCCUGCAGGACCCCAGGCACAAGUCUGGUGUGGGGGCAGGUAUGCUCUGGUGCAGGUGGCAGGCCCUAUGAAAGGGUCAUCGGACCAUGCCCCAAGCCCUGCAGGGUGCACCCUGUGCCUCCUGGUGUCCUUGUGGAGUCCCCUCCUCUGCAGCCUGCCAUGAGCUACUCUGCUCCAGCGUCCAGGGCAGUGACAGCGGCACUGCCAUCAGAGACAGCCUCACCUCCUUGUGGGGAGUGGGGACAGGACAGGCUUUGAGUCAGCCCUCAGCCCUGCUGUGUACACCUCAGGGCCCACCUGGAAUAUGUGUGUGGCAUCAGGAAGAACUGUGCAUUUAAAAGGGUGUACAUCACACUGUGAUGAAGGCUGCCGCAAUCCCCAUUUUGUUAACCAGGAAACCGGGGCUUACAGGGAUGAGGUCUCUUGUCCCAGCUAUACAGUGAGGGGGCAAGUGGUUCUGGCUGCCUAAGCUCAGGACUCCACACUGCCAGGGCCACACUGUUACUUCUGGGCCUCGUCCCCCACCUCUAAGGCCCUCCUGGUGCUGGCCUAGGUCAGGCACAGUGGAGAGGUGGAGGCACGAGCCUGGCUUAGUCAGAGGGGUGGGGUCAAGGCGGGGGGGGUUUCAGCAGGAAUUCCAGCAACUUUCCUCAGGACUGCCGCCCCAGGGGCCUGUCUCAUCCCGUCCUGGGACCCUGGGCCAGGGUGGCUGGAAUGUGGCAGGUCCUGCAUUCUUUUACCUCCUGCCUGGGGGUCAGCGGGAAGUGAAGGCCAGGCCAGGGAGGAGAGGCAGGAGAGGGAGCCGGACCGAGGGUGGGAUCAGCCCGGGCAGCCGCACCUGGCUCGAGGCUGUCCUGGGGUUGCUGGCAGCAGCUCCAGCCCUGCCUGGAGGUGGUAGCAGGGAUCUGUAGCCCCAGUGCAGGCAGGGCCUGGAGCAGCCCAGGAAGUGCCCUACCCGCUUACUGCAAGAGGAGUCGCCCCUCAGGCCUGGGGUCCAGGAAGCCCUUCCCCACUAGAGGCCAUCUAGGGUGGGGACCCAGACCAGGUGGUUGAAUGCCUGGGUCAGACUGAGUUUGCUGAUCUUCCGCACCCUCUAAGCACACACACCCAGGGAGGGAGCCGAGACAAGAGCAGGGAACAGAGAACCCCAAUCUGGGCUUGGGCAGCUGCCGCUUGGCCCCUGCAGCCUCUGUGCCUGCUGACGUGACAGCAAGGAGACAGGCUGUCAGAGGGGCCUGGCAGAGCGAGGGAGGGCCGAGGUAGGGGUUCUUAUCCUGGGGUGCUCCCUCCUCGCCCUCUUUUCCUGUCUGAGUUCUGGAAUGUACUGACACAGGGGGCUCUGGCUUGAGCUGGGGGGGGGGGCCCUCCGCAGGGGCUGCAGGUCCAGGGAUUCCCCAGGGCCUGGACUUAUGUUCCUAAGCUGCAGACAGAGCGGGAAUGGCAAGUGCACCUGUGCCCCCCGCCCCUCCUUACCUCCAGAUGCCUGCUGGAGGGGGAGUUGGGGGUCCAACAGAGUCUGGGGCCAGGAGGGCCUUGUGGGAGCCAGCUGGGGUGAGGACAGAGCCCGGCUCUGAGAGCCCUGGGGCUUAGUAAAGAAGGGGUGCUCCUUCCCCACUCCUCACAUGGGUGGGAAGGUGCCCUCAGGCAGGAAGACUGGGACACAGGUACACUGGCCAGGGACCAUCCUUCACUCUGCAGCCUUUAUUCACUGAUGGGAUUCUGCCCCAGUCCCACCCCCGUGGGGGCAGGAUUUAGAGCAGGAACCGCCCCUCCGGGUCCUUUCCUGGGGCCUGUGCCAGGCUGAGCAGACUCAGGAGGUGUCUCUCCGAGGGUGUGGGCUGUGAUGGGGCCCUGUGCACCCAUCCACGCUGCCCAGACCAGGAGAGCACAGGUCAGCCGGACACGUGAUGGGGGCACGCUAGAAAUGCAGAAGGGGACGCAGCAGCCACAUUCCAAUCCACAAAGAUGCCGCGCAGGCCCAUCCAUCUGCCCCGUGAAUGCCAACCAGGCAGAGACACACAUACAGCUGAGCCUGGGCCGGAUCCCAGAGCAAACCCUUGGGUGCCUCCGGAGGGAGCCCGCCAGGAGGGAUGGCUCGUAAACACUGGGGAAGGAACAGAAGAGGGGGAGGGAGCGAAGGAACUCGGCUGCCCACCCCCAACCCAACCACUUGCCGAGAAGCCAUCUCUGUGGUCAUGGUGGCCCCAGGCCUGGCUCUCCCUGCGCCCACCCCCACCACCCAGUCACUCCACCCAGUCACCCCACCCAGCUGUGACCUGCCGCUUCCCUCCAUCUCACAUGCUUUCCCCUCACCUCCCCCAGAAAGCCUCCCCAGCCUCUGGCCUCCAGUCCCAACAAGCCAUGCUCUUCCAGAGGGAACCUCUGCCAGGGGAGCCUCCACUUCCUUGCUCCUGCCUCCCUAUCUGGCACCCAGGCCAGCCCUGGUACCCUGGUACUGAAUAAAGGCACACGUCUAAAUGAUGUUGGGGGGAAUCUGCCCAGUGUUGGCACUGGAGGGAACAAGACCCACUGCCAGCAUGGCCCACGAGCCACGCCCCCACAAGCCAGCACCUCCUCCCCAGAGGAAGCACGGGGCUCGAGGGGGUGCGCCCCUGAGUGGGAGGUCACACCUGGUGAGGGCUCCCUUGUUCCCAGAGGCCUAGCUGUCUCCCUGCUGAGAUGCAGAGCUCACUAUGGCCCUCACAGGGGUUUAAGCCGAGUCAUUUCAUCUUCACAGCAGCUGUAGGUCCCGCCGACAGAGCUGACACAUAGGGAGUUAAGUGACUGGCGCAAGGUCACAGGCUAGGAGUAGCAGCACGGGGCCCGGCACAAGGAAGGGCCUUAGCAUCCCCCACCUCCCCAACCUUGCAGCCUGCCCUGACUCCAAUCCCAGGGGAAUUCCUGAGCUGCAGGCAAAGGCUGAAGCAGGAGCUGACAAGUCCUGCUGAGCCCAGAGAGGUCUGGGCGGUCCUAGGAGGGCGUCUCCCUAGGGCUUUGAUGAGUUGGCGGCCGCCCAGGCACCUCUGCCUGCCUGCCCAGCAUGGCAGGUGUGUGGGCUGGAGCUUCUGCCCAGCCCUGCCCUACAGCCACAAUUAGGGGACAAGUGCAGAUAAAGCAUGGAGGCCAGUUACAUCUGAAUUUCAGAUCAACAAUGAAUUGUUAUUUUAGUACAGUAUAAAAGUAUUUGGCCCCAAAGAACUGGAAGCAGGAAAUGGAACAGGUCCUUGUACACCCAUGCUCACAGCAUCAUUCACCAGAGCCAGAAGGCAGAAACGAUGUCUCCCCACAGUUGAAUACAUUGUUUCCACAAACUGUCUGUAGGUGCAUACAAUGGAAUAGGAUUAAUCCGUGAAAAGGAAGAAAUUCUGGGCGUGGAGGAACCUUGAGGACGAAGCUGAGUGAAAGAAGCCAGACACAAAAGGACAGAGAUGGCAAGAUCCCACUCAUGUGAGGUCCCUAGAGGAGUCGGAUUCAUAGAGACUGAAAGGAUGGCGGGCACCAGGGGCAGUGGGGAGGGGAAAUGGGGAGUUACUGUUUAAUGGGGACAGUUUCAGUUUUACAAGAUGAAAAGGGUUGCGGAGCUGGAUGGGGGUGACAGCCGCACAAUAGCGUGAAUGGACUGAACGCCACUGAACUGAACUCUUAAAAACGGUUAAAUUGGCAAAUUUUGUUAUGCAUAUUUUGCCACAAAAAGCAAACAACUCUUCUCCCCAAAAAUAUCUGGAGUGUACUUACACUAAAUAUGUAGGGCAUAUUUACUCUCAACAUUUAUUUCCUUAUUUGAAAUUAAAAUAUUUGGGACACACUACACUACAAAA
Nomascus leucogenys (northern white-cheeked gibbon) is the source of this 4312-nucleotide long non-coding RNA. RefSeq lists it as uncharacterized. The record is from RefSeq and is a predicted model, not a curated record. The transcript has 2 exons. NCBI's taxonomy places the organism in Eukaryota, Metazoa, Chordata, Mammalia, Primates, Hylobatidae.